ACACAUGCAAMUCGAGCGGAAACGAAGAGGUGCUUGCACCUCUGGCGUCGAGCGGCGGACGGGUGAGUAAUGCUUGGGAAUAUGCCUUAUGGUGGGGGACAACAGUUGGAAACGACUGCUAAUACCGCAUGAUGUCUACGGACCAAAGUGGGGGACCUUCGGGCCUCACGCCAUAAGAUUAGCCCAAGUGGGAUUAGCUAGUUGGUGAGGUAAUGGCUCACCAAGGCGACGAUCCCUAGCUGGUUUGAGAGGAUGAUCAGCCACACUGGGACUGAGACACGGCCCAGACUCCUACGGGAGGCAGCAGUGGGGAAUAUUGCACAAUGGGCGCAAGCCUGAUGCAGCCAUGCCGCGUGUGUGAAGAAGGCCUUCGGGUUGUAAAGCACUUUCAGUAAGGAGGAAAGGUUAAGUGUUAAUAGCGCUUAGCUGUGACGUUACUUACAGAAGAAGCACCGGCUAACUCCGUGCCAGCAGCCGCGGUAAUACGGAGGGUGCGAGUUAAUCGGAAUUCUGGGCGUAAAGCGUAC
Molecule: ribosomal RNA, 527 nt
Filed under: uncultured prokaryote
Description: bacterial SSU rRNA
Rfam family: Bacterial small subunit ribosomal RNA
Source: RNAcentral